Molecule: ribosomal RNA, 499 nt
Filed under: uncultured bacterium
Lineage: Bacteria
Description: partial 16S ribosomal RNA
Rfam family: Bacterial small subunit ribosomal RNA
Source: RNAcentral
GACGAACGCUGGCGGCGUGCCUAACACAUGCAAGUCGAGCGAAGUUUCUCUGCUGCUUGCACUUGCACAACUUACCAACGGACGGGUGAGACACACGUAACGAACCUGUCUCAUAGAGUUGGCUUACUAAUGCAAAGGCUAGCACAUAACGGAUACCAGUAUUUCUCGCAUGAGAGUUAUAUAAAACUUCGUUUUGGUAUCAAUUCGCGAUGGAUUUGCGGUGUAUUAGCGUGUUGGCGGGGUAAAGGCUUAACAAGUAGACGAUGGAUAGCCGACCUGAGAGGGGGAUCGGCCGCACUGGGACUUAAACACGGCCCAGGGUCCUACGGGAGGCAGCAGUAGGGAAUGUUCCGCAAUGGGCGGAAGCCUGACGGAACAGCGGCGCGUGUGUUGAGGAGGAGUUCGGUUCGUGAAGCUCUGUUGUGAGGGAAGAAUGGAUAUGUAGUAACUAGACAUGUAAGUGACGGUACCUGGCCAGAAAGCCACGGCUAACUACGUG